GAUCAUGGCUCAGGAUGAACGCUAGCGACAGGCUUAACACAUGCAAGUCGAGGGGCAGCGGGGAGUAGCAAUACUUCGCCGGCGACCGGCGCACGGGUGAGUAACACGUGUGCAACCAACCCCGUACCGGGAGAUAACCCGCGGAAACGUGGACUAACAUCCCAUAACACUCUAGAGCCGCAUGGCUCUGGAUUUAAAAUUCCGGUGGUACGGGACGGGCACGCGCGACAUUAGGUAGUUGGCGGGGUAACGGCCCGCCAAG
Molecule: ribosomal RNA, 262 nt
Filed under: uncultured bacterium
Lineage: Bacteria
Description: partial 16S ribosomal RNA
Rfam family: Bacterial small subunit ribosomal RNA
Source: RNAcentral